This 522-nucleotide ribosomal RNA is filed under the name Blastocystis sp. subtype 3. Its description in RNAcentral is "SSU rRNA". It matches the Rfam family "Eukaryotic small subunit ribosomal RNA", at positions 501 to 1029 of the family's 1831-position model. Lineage: Eukaryota; Bigyra; Opalinata; Blastocystidae. The record is from RNAcentral.
UUUUUGCAUUGGAUUGAGAACAACGUACAAACCUUAUCGAUAAACAAUUGGAGGGCAAGUCUGGUGCCAGCAGCCGCGGUAAUUCCAGCUCCAAUAGCGUAUAUUAACGUUGUUGCAGUUAAAAAGCUCGUAGUUGAAAUGAAGGGUAGUUGUGUAAUGAAUACAUUCGUGUAUUUUGUUAUUCUACUACCCUCCUUCUAAAUUCGAUAUAUGAGUAUUAAUUUACUUGUAUAUGGUUUUAGACCUUUACUGUGAGAAAAUUAGAGUGUUCAAAGCAGGCAUUUGCUUGAAUAUAUUAGCAUGGAAUAAUCAUGUAUGAUUUUCAUGAUGUAUUUGAUUGGUUUGGUUCAUGAGAAUAAGAUUAAAAGGGACAGUUGGGGGUAUUCAUAUUCAAUAGUCAGAGGUGAAAUUCUCGGAUUUAUGGAAGAUGAACAAGUGCGAAAGCAUUUACCAAGGAUGUUUUCAUUAAUCAAGAACGAAAGUUAGGGGAUCGAAGAGGAUUAGAUACCCUCGUAGUCUUAA